AGAGUUUGAUCCUGGCUCACAUUGAACGCUGGCGGCAGGCCUAACACAUGCAAGUCGAACGGUAACAGGAAACAGCUUGCUGUUUCGCUGACGAGUGGCGGACGGGUGAGUAAUGUCUGGGAAACUGCCUGAUGGAGGGGGAUAACUACUGGAAACGGUAGCUAAUACCGCAUAACGUCGCAAGACCAAAGAGGGGGACCCUCGGGCCUCUUGCCAUCGGAUGUGCCCAGAUGGGAUUAGCUUGUUGGUGGGGUAACGGCUCACCAAGGCGACGAUCCCUAGCUGGUCUGAGAGGAUGACCAGCCACACUGGAACUGAGACACGGUCCAGACUCCUACGGGAGGCAGCAGUGGGGAAUAUUGCACAAUGGGCGCAAGCCUGAUGCAGCCAUGCCGCGUGUAUGAAGAAGGCCUUCGGGUUGUAAAGUACUUUCAGCGGGGAGGAAGGGAGUAAAGUUAAUACCUUUGCUCAUUGACGUUACCCGCAGAAGAAGCACCGGCUAACUCCGUGCCAGCAGCCGCGGUAAUACGGAGGGUGCAAGCGUUAAUCGGAAUUACUGGGCGUAAAGCGCACGCAGGCGGUUUGUUAAGUCAGAUGUGAAAUCCCCGGGCUCAACCUGGGAACUGCAUCUGAUACUGGCAAGCUUGAGUCUCGUAGAGGGGGGUAGAAUUCCAGGUGUAGCGGUGAAAUGCGUAGAGAUCUGGAGGAAUACCGGUGGCGAAGGCGGCCCCCUGGACGAAGACUGACGCUCAGGUGCGAAAGCGUGGGGAGCAAACAGGAUUAGAUACCCUGGUAGUCCACGCCGUAAACGAUGUCGACUUGGAGGUUGUGCCCUUGAGGCGUGGCUUCCGGAGCUAACGCGUUAAGUCGACCGCCUGGGGAGUACGGCCGCAAGGUUAAAACUCAAAUGAAUUGACGGGGGCCCGCACAAGCGGUGGAGCAUGUGGUUUAAUUCGAUGCAACGCGAAGAACCUUACCUGGUCUUGACAUCCACGGAAGUUUUCAGAGAUGAGAAUGUGCCUUCGGGAACCGUGAGACAGGUGCUGCAUGGCUGUCGUCAGCUCGUGUUGUGAAAUGUUGGGUUAAGUCCCGCAACGAGCGCAACCC
Molecule: ribosomal RNA, 1107 nt
Filed under: uncultured bacterium
Lineage: Bacteria
Description: bacterial SSU rRNA
Rfam family: Bacterial small subunit ribosomal RNA
Source: RNAcentral